RNAcentral lists this unclassified non-coding RNA (392 nucleotides) under soil metagenome. Its description in RNAcentral is "partial contains 5.8S ribosomal RNA, internal transcribed spacer 2, and large subunit ribosomal RNA". The stretch from base 1 to 122 matches the Rfam family "5.8S ribosomal RNA", at positions 35 to 154 of the family's 154-position model. The record is from RNAcentral.
GUUGAAGAACGCAGCGAAAUGCGAUACUUGGUGUGAAUUGCAGAAUCCCGUGAACCAUCGAGUCUUUGAACGCAAGUUGCGCCCGAAGCCAUCAGGUUGAGGGCACGUCUGCCUGGGCGUCACAUAUCGUUGUUCGAUGCCUAUCGCAUUGCGAUAGGACUUAGGGCGAAUGAUGGCUUCCCGUGAGCGUUGUUGCCUCGCGGUUGGUUGAAAAUCGAGUCCUUGGUAGGGUGUGCCAUGAUAGAUGGUGGUCGAGUUAGCACGAGACUGAUCAUGUGCAUGCUCCCCAAAAUAUGGCCUCUGUGACCCACACACGUCUUUUGACGCUCAUGACGAGACCUCAGGUCAGGCGGGGCUACCCGCUGAAUUUAAGCAUAUCAAUAAGCGGAGGA